Molecule: long non-coding RNA, 311 nt
Filed under: Parus major (Great Tit)
Lineage: Eukaryota; Metazoa; Chordata; Aves; Passeriformes; Paridae
Description: lncRNA (ENSPMJG00000013155.1)
Source: RNAcentral
GAUUCAGCAGAAUCCGGACGGAGCUUCUCAAGGAAACUUAAAAGCACAUUCAAUUUGUGGUUGGUUCCUAUCCCUCUCCCAUUCCAUUGGAUUUAUGGGGAGAAGACAGCAAGCAAGAAUGGAUGCUUCACAGCUGGCAAUGGUCAACCUAUCACACAGUGGAGAUAUUUCUUGCUGAUAAAUGAUGCUGUGGAAGUAGCCAAAGCAGAAUUCUUUCAGGUAAUUCAGGUAAUAUGUAUUGUUCCUUUGUAUUGAAUGGGAGAAAUAGAAAAUAACCUAUUCCAGAUUUCCAGUAUGAGAUGGACCACCCU